GGGACUAGGAGAGGGUUCUUGCCCCGAUACUGCUCAUUUCUCAUAGGUCUGACUCGAGACAGACAAGUAUAGCUGCAGACAUGAGGGAAGAAGAGUACCAGGAAGAGGAUCCUGACUAGGCUGCCGUCCACCUCCUCAACUCGGGACUUCCACCACGUGCCUUCCCACUCAGUCUUGAUAAGCUGUCCACUCUUGAGCAAAACCAUGGGGCGGUUGGGGGGACGCUGGUUUGAUCCUGGUCGGGGAACUAAGAUCCCACAUGCUGUGGAGCAACUAAACUUGCACACUGCAACUACUGAGCCCAUGCACUCUGUAGCCCGCGCACCACAACUAGAGAGAAGCCCACACGCUGUGACGAAAGAUCCCGCAUGCUGCAAUGAAGAUCCCACGAGCCACAACUAAGACCUGACGCAGCCAAAUAAUAAAUUAAAAAAAAAGGAAGGCAAUGGUGGUAAUCACUUUGCAAUAAACAUACGUAUCAAAUCAUUAUGUCUUAUACCUUAAACUAAUACUAUAUUAUUUGUCAAUUAUAUCUCAAAAAAACUGGGGGGAAAGUAGCAAAAAUAAAUAAAUAAAAACAAAAAUGGAAAGCAAUGUAAAUUUCUGAAAAUAACAAAAAUAGUUAAAUAAACUACAACAUAUCUAAAUGAGGUUCAUAAAGAAUCUUCAAUAACACGAGGCAAUGCUAAUGAUAUAUAUUAAGUUUUAAAAGUUAGGAUACAAAAUCAUUUAUUUGAUAUGAACUCAACCUUGGAGAGAAUACACAGACACACCUGCGCAUGUGCACACAUUCCUCAAAGAACUGUGACUAUGGCAUAUGAUUAAUAUCUGUUAUCUUAGAACUCCACAACUGUAAAAGGCUUCAAAACACAUGUUCUGUAUUUGAGGACAAAUUAAGGAAGGACGGUUAUUAAUCUUGCAGGGGUUUUUACCUUUAAAAUAUAUUUAGCUACAUUCAUGUGGUAAAAAAUUCAAACAUUAUAAAAGGACACACAAUCAAAAAUAAGUCUCCCUCCCACCGCUGCUUCUCGUUACUUGCCUCAGAAAUAACCAAUAUUAACAGUACCUUUUGCAGCCAAAGAUAUUCUGGAAUGUUACAUAUGUAUUCUAUCCUGCCUUCAUCCUUUUACUUCACACUUUUACUCACACAUGCAGUUUUAUUCUUAAUAAAUUUAUUUAUUUAUGUAUGUAUGUAUGUCUGCACUGGGUCUUCAUUGAUGCACGCAGGCUUUCUCUAUUUGUGGCAAGCGGGGGCUAUUCUUUGUUGCAGUGUGUGGGUUUUUCAUUGCAAUGACUUCUCUUGUUGUGGAGCAUGGGCUCUAGGUGUGCGGGCUUCAGUAGUUGUGGCACACAGGCUCAGUAGUUGUGGCUCACGGGCUUAGUUGCUCCAUGGCAUGUGGGAUCUUCCUGGACCAGGAAGAUCCACUGUGCCACCAGGGAAGUCCUAACAUGCAGUUUUUUGUUUUUAUUUUUGGCUGCAUUGGGUCUUAAUUGCAGCACGCGGGAUCUUUGUUGUGGCAAUGCAGGCUCUUUCGUUACGGUGCGUGGGCUCUUCAUUGCGGCACACGGGAUUCUCUAGUUGUGGUGCACAGGCUUCAGAGCGUGCAUGCUCUAGAGCUCGUGGGCUCUGUAGUUUGCGGCACGCAGGCUCUCUGGUUGAGGGGCACAGGCUUACUGCCCCACGGCAUGUGGGAUCUUAGUUCCCCAACCAGGGAUUGAACCUGCAUCCCCUGCAUUGGAAGGCAUAUUCUUAACCACUGGACCACCAGGGAAGUCCCCUUCGUGCAGUUUUUAUGUUGCUUUUUAUCUCCACACUUAAAAUAACUAGGAAAAGUAUUCCCUAUCAGGACCUACAAAUCUGAUUUUUCCCCCAAUUAUUUUAUUGUGGCAAAAUACACAUAACACAGAAGUUACCAUCUUAACCAUUUUCAAGUGCACAGUCAGUGGUAUUAAGUACAUUCAUGUCACUGUGCAACCAUUACCAUCAGUCAUCUCCAGAACUCUAAGUCACCAAGUUAAGACACGAGGAACAGGACAGAGGGAGCAUGAGGGAGUAUAGUCAUCUGUAUGAAAGGUCUGAAUUAAAUGUCCAGCUUUGUUAAAAAUAUAAGCAGAAACUUUACACCAAUAAAUUGAAUACUUAAGAAAAAAUAUAAAUUAGAAAAUUACAAGUUACCAAAUCUGACUCAAAGAAAUAGAAAAGCUUUGCACAAAGUAAAUAGAUACCUAGAUGGCUUCACAGGCAAACUGUAUCAAACACUCAAGGGAUACAUAAUUCCAAGUUUGCAAACACUUCCCAAGAAUUAAAAGAAGAAAUACUGCCUAUUCCAUUCUACAAGCCCACCAAAAUCUCAAUAUUAAAAUCACAGAAGGGUAGUACCAAAAAAAAAAAAAUUAUAGGCCUAUCUCUGUUAUAAAAGUGAAGAUGCAAGAUAAAAGUGAAGAUGCAAAAAUCCUAAAUAUCAGCACAACAAGGGCUUCCCUGGUGGCGCAGUGGUUGAGAGUCCACCUGCCGAUGCAGGGGACACAGGUUCGUGCCCCAGUCUGGGAAGAUCCCACAUGCCGCGGAGCGGCUAGGCCCGUGAGCUAUGGCCGCUGAGCCUGCGCGCCCGGAGCCUGCGCCCCGCAACGGGAGAGGCCACAGCAGUGAGAGGCCCGCGUACCGGAAAAAAACAAAAAGAAAGGAAGUAAAAUGACUAUUUGCAGAAAGCAUGGUCUAAUGUAUAGAAAAUCCUAAGGGAGCCACAAAAAACUUCUAGGAAACUGAUAAGCUGAUGCUAAAAUUUAUUUGGAUUAUAUAUGAAAUACAAAUGAAUUUGGAGGACUUUCACUAAGUGAUUUUAAUACUUACUGUAAAGCUACAGUAAUUAAGACAGUGUGGUGCUGGUAUAAAAAUAAACAUUUAGUUCAAUGUGACCCUCAAAUACAACAUAUAGCCAGCUGAUUUUUGACAAGGACACCAAAAGAAUAGUCUUUUCAACAAAUGGUGGCGGAACAACUAGAUAGCCAUAAGCAAAACAAACCAACCAACUACCCUCAGCUCUUAUGUUAAGAAUUUUUAUUCUUCAAAAGACACCAUUAAGAAAAUGAAAAGACCACAUCUGGGAAAAUGUUUGUAAAACAGAUCUGAUAAAUGAAUUGUACCUAAAGUAUAAUAAAUCAGAAGACAUAUAUAUUGACUUAGAAAAGUCAAUAAUAAAAAGACAACCCAAUUUUUUAAAAAAGGCAAAACGAUUUGAAUAGAUAUUUCCUCAAAAAACAUACAUAAAUGGCAAAUAAGUAUGUGAAAAGAUGCUCAAUGUCUUUAGGAACAUGCAAACUACAAUCACAAUGUGAGGGAGUCCCCUAGUGGCCUAAUGGUUAGGAUUCCAGCUUUCGCUGCUGUGGCCUGGGUUCAGUCCCUGGCUGGAGAACAGAGAUCCCACAAGCCACGCAGCGUGGCCAAAAAAAAAAAAAAAAAAGCUACAAUCCCACUUUGCUAGUGGGAAUGUAAAAUGAUAUGGCCACUUUGGAAAACACAAUAGCAGUUUCUUAAAAACUCAAACAUACACUUACCUAAGACUUACCAAUUCCACUCCUAGGCGGAGUAUCCAACAGACAUGAAACAUAAUGUGGACAUUAAGACUUACACAUCAGGGACUUCCCUGGUGGCACAGUGGUUAAGAAUCCACCUGCCAAUACAGGAGACAUGGGUUUGAUCCCUGGUCCGGGAAGAUACCAAGUGCCACAGGGCAACCAAGCCCGUGUGCCACAACUACUGAGCCUGCAUUCUACAGCCUGCGAGACACAACUACUGAGCCCGUGUGUCACAACUACUGAAGCCCGUGCGCCUAGAGCCUGGGGUCCGCAACACAGAGAAGCCACCACAAUGAGAAGCCCGCACACCGCAACAAAGAGUAGCUCCCACUCACAGCAACUAGAGAAAGCCCGUGCGCAGCAAUGAAGACCCAAUGCAGCCAAAAAUAAAUUAAUAAACUAAAAACAAACAUACAAAAAACUGUUAAAGAAUAGACAAAACCAAAUAAUCUGUUUUGAGAUAUAUACAUAGGUGCUAAUGCCACCUAUAAAGAAAAGCAAGGGAAUUCAGAAUACAGGUUACAUAGAAUGGGGAAAGGAGAACAAUUCAAUCAGGAAGUAGCAAGAAGUGAAAAUCUAUGAUAUCAAUACUAACAAUCUUCUAUUUUUUUUUUCUGUAACAGACAAGUCCAACAGUUACGAAUAUGGAGUUAGAAUGGUUUCUCCUUUCUUUUACCUUCUAUUUGUUCAUCUUCCCACGUUUCAAUUUUAAUCCUGAGACUUUCCUGUCCAUAGCCUCA
This is a long non-coding RNA of Physeter macrocephalus (sperm whale), 4316 nucleotides long. RefSeq lists it as uncharacterized. The record is from RefSeq and is a predicted model, not a curated record. NCBI's taxonomy places the organism in Eukaryota, Metazoa, Chordata, Mammalia, Artiodactyla, Physeteridae. The transcript has 3 exons.